This 1030-nucleotide long non-coding RNA is filed under the name Homo sapiens (human). Its description in RNAcentral is "HSALNT0157053". The record is from RNAcentral. Lineage: Eukaryota; Metazoa; Chordata; Mammalia; Primates; Hominidae.
UCCACCCUGGCUUCCAGCUUCAAGAGGCGUAGGUCCUCCAAAGACACGCAGUACCAUCCCACUGAUAUCACGGGCCCGCUCAACCUCUCAGAUCCCUCGGUCAGCACCGUGGUGUGAGGCCCCCGGAGGCGCCCACCUGCCCAGUUAGCCCGGCCAAGGACACUGAUGGGUCCUGCUGCUCGGGAAGGCCUGAGGGAAGCCCACCCGCCCCAGAGACUGCCCACCCUGGGCCUCCCGUCCGUCCGCCCGCCCACCCCGCUGCCUGGCGGGCAGCCCCUGCUGGACCAAGGUGCGGACCGGAGCGGCUGAGGACGGGGCAGAGCUGAGUCGGCUGGGCAGGGCCGCAGGGCGCUCCGGCAGAGGCAGGGCCCUGGGGUCUCUGAGCAGUGGGGAGCGGGGGCUAACUGGCCCCAGGCGGAGGGGCUUGGAGCAGAGACGGCAGCCCCAUCCUUCCCGCAGCACCAGCCUGAGCCACAGUGGGGCCCAUGGCCCCAGCUGGCUGGGUCGCCCCUCCUCGGGCGCCUGCGCUCCUCUGCAGCCUGAGCUCCACCCUCCCCUCUUCUUGCGGCACCGCCCACCCACACCCCGUCUGCCCCUUGACCCCACACGCCGGGGCUGGCCCUGCCCUCCCCCACGGCCGUCCCUGACUUCCCAGCUGGCAGCGCCUCCCGCCGCCUCGGGCCGCCUCCUCCAGACUCGAGAGGGCUGAGCCCCUCCUCUCCUCGUCCGGCCUGCAGCCCAGAACGGGCCUCCCCGGGGGUCCCCGGACGCUGGCUCGGGACUGUCUUCAACCCUGCCCUGCACCUUGGGCACGGGAGAGCGCCACCCGCCCGCCCCCGCCCUCGCUCCGGGUGCGUGACCGGCCCGCCACCUUGUACAGAACCAGCACUCCCAGGGCCCGAGCGCGUGCCUUCCCCGUGCGGCCCGUGCGCAGCCGCGCUCUGCCCCUCCGUCCCCAGGGUGCAGGCGCGCACCGCCCAACCCCCACCUCCCGGUGUAUGCAGUGGUGAUGCCUAAAGGAAUGUCACGC